RNAcentral lists this ribosomal RNA (443 nucleotides) under uncultured bacterium. RNAcentral describes it as "partial 16S ribosomal RNA". It matches the Rfam family "Bacterial small subunit ribosomal RNA", at positions 338 to 795 of the family's 1533-position model. The record is from RNAcentral.
CCUACGUGAGGCAGCAGUGGGGAAUAUUGGACAAUGGGGGGAACCCUGAUCCAGCGACGCCGCGUGAGUGAAGAAGUAUUUCGGUAUGUAAAGCUCUAUCAGCAGGGAAGAAAGAAAUGACGGUACCUGACUAAGAAGCCUCGGCUAACUACGUGCCAGCAGCCGCGGUAAUACGUAGGGGGCAAGCGUUAUCCGGAUUUACUGGGUGUAAAGGGAGCGUAGACGGCGAUGCAAGUCUGAAGUGAAAGGCGGGGGCCCAACCCCCGGACUGCUUUGGAAACUGUAUGGCUGGAGUGCAGGAGAGGUAAGUGGAAUUCCUAGUGUAGCGGUGAAAUGCGUAGAUAUUAGGAGGAACACCAGUGGCGAAGGCGGCUUACUGGACUGUAACUGACGUUGAGGCUCGAAAGCGUGGGGAGCAAACAGGAUUAGAUACCCGUGUAGUC